GCUAAACAUGGCCAAAGUUUUAAAAAAUAAUUUAGAAGAAUGACUGAGAAUUUCUGUGCUGAAAAUCUUAAUUCCGGGUUGGUACACGUCUCGGCUGUUUUUUUUUUCUCGAUCGUGGAUCUAAUGACGUAGACAAGAACGUAAGUCCUUAUAUGAUCAUUUCUCCCGGAAAAGCGUGCCCACGCAAACAGAUUAACCAGAGGAGAGCGAGACCGACUGCAUAGUAUUUGUUCAAGAAUGCCUCCAAAUGCCUUUGGAUGUGAGGGAAAGUUUACCCUGUUCAGCUUCACCAAGAGCCCAGCGUUACAUGAACAGUGGAAGCAGUUUGUUUUCCGAGGCAGCAACGGAGUGUAUCAAGCCCAAGUAAACGCUGGAUUUGGACAUCGUUUGUUAUUAAAACAUGGAGCUGUCUCUGUGAUAAAAGACCCCAUUCAUACUCAUGGUCCAUAUGAAAAGAAGAAAGAAUGAAGAGGAAAAUACACACAGAGAAUUUAAAAGACAUACAAGCUUGCAUUCCAAUGCUUCCGCAAGCUGGAAAAAUACCUUGUAUCACUUAAUGUAACAUCAUUUAAGACCAUUAUGAUACCAUUUUUUGAAUCAUUCAGCAGACAUAUGAAAUUAUACAUACACUUCCUUAAGACAGCAUGCAAAGUAGGUACAUAUUCAUUAAUAAUCACGAUUACAAUAUUAAGGUAAAUCAUCUACAGUCUUAUACAAAUGUCCAAGAUGUUUAAAUAGUAGUCCAACGAACUGCUUAUGAUUCAUUGAUGUUCAGCAAGGUCUACAGCACCCUCCGUUGGUGACUAAUUAUACAGCCCAUACAGAGCGCUCCUUGGACCAGCUAUUCUUAUUGGUCAAAUUUCUGAGUCUUGUUUAGGUUCUGGGAAUGUUGCUGUCAGUUGAGUAUAACAGCAGAGGGCAGCACAGGACAGAUAAUGUUUUCAUGUUCAUCGCUUCACACCCUAACCACAUUUUCACUGUGGUCAUCAUAACUCAUAAGUCAUUUAGUUGCAUGAAAAAUGCGUUUGUUGUGGUUGAUUAGACUUGAAAACCACUAAAAAUAAUAAGCAUUGUAUUGUCCUGUUAUUCACGUUUCUUUCAAGGCUGUGGUUUGUUCUGGCAGUUGUUGUUGUUGUUGUUGUUUUAACAUGAGUGCCAUUGGAAUUUCUGUUAUGUAAUUCUGGUUAUUUGCUCAGCCACUAGAGACAUAUGUUAAAUCAUGUAAUGGAAAGACCAGAUAGUGUGAAGGCAGGAUGUAGAAAAGGAAGGAAGGAACUAUAAGGGGUAUCAGUUAUAGAUGUAGGAGUUAUAGAGUUUGCAGAUGUUUUUCUUGUGUAUUAUAUUUACAAUGAAAACAAUGACAUUCCAAUACUCCUCAGAGAACAGUGUCAUUUUUUUGCUUGCAAACCCUU
Molecule: long non-coding RNA, 1412 nt
Organism: Carassius auratus (goldfish)
Lineage: Eukaryota; Metazoa; Chordata; Actinopteri; Cypriniformes; Cyprinidae
Exons: 3
Source: RefSeq, a predicted model, not a curated record